RNAcentral lists this ribosomal RNA (867 nucleotides) under uncultured bacterium. RNAcentral describes it as "bacterial SSU rRNA". It matches the Rfam family "Bacterial small subunit ribosomal RNA", at positions 367 to 1247 of the family's 1533-position model. The record is from RNAcentral.
CGCACCAGUUUGCCCAAGGCCUGACGAGCCAUACCGCGUGAGGGAGGAAGGCUCUUGGGUCGUAAACCUCUUUUCUCAAGGAAGAAGAAAGUGACGGUACUUGAGGAAUAAGCAUCGGCUAACUCCGUGCCAGCAGCCGCGGUAAUACGGAGGAUGCAAGCGUUAUCCGGAAUGAUUGGGCGUAAAGGGUCUGCAGGUGGAACUGAAAGUCUGCUGUUAAAGAGUUUGGCUUAACCAAAUAAAAGCGGUGGAAACUACAGAACUAGAGUGCGGUAGGGGCAAAAGGAAUUCCUGGUGUAGCGGUGAAAUGCGUAGAUAUCAGGAAGAACACCGGUGGCGAAAGCGUUUUGCUAGACCGUAACUGACACUGAGGGACGAAAGCUAGGGGAGCGAAUGGGAUUAGAUACCCCAGUAGUCCUAGCCGUAAACGAUGGAUACUAGGCGUGGCUUGUAUCGACCCGAGCCGUGCCGGAGCUAACGCGUUAAGUAUCCCGCCUGGGGAGUACGCACGCAAGUGUGAAACUCAAAGGAAUUGACGGGGGCCCGCACAAGCGGUGGAGUAUGUGGUUUAAUUCGAUGCAACGCGAAGAACCUUACCAAGGCUUGACAUCCUGCGAAUCCUGGUGAAAGCUGGGAGUGCCUUAGGGAGCGCAGAGACAGGUGGUGCAUGGCUGUCGUCAGCUCGUGUCGUGAGAUGUUGGGUUAAGUCCCGCAACGAGCGCAACCCUCGUUUUUAGUUGCCAGCAUUAAGUUGGGCACUCUAGAGAGACUGCCGGUGACAAACCGGAGGAAGGUGAGGAUGACGUCAAGUCAGCAUGCCCCUUUACGUCUUUGGGCUACACACGUUACUUACAAUUGCCUACCGGA